AUUGAACGCUGGCGGCAGGCCUAACACAUGCAAGUCGAGCGAGCGGCGGACGGGUGAGUAAUGUAUGGGGACUGCCCGAUAGAGGGGGAUAACUACUGGAAACGGUAGCUAAUACCGCAUACUAUCGGAUAACCCAUAUGGGAUUAGCGAGUAGGUGAGGUAAUGGCUCACCUAGGCGACGAUCCCUAGCUGUUCUGAGAGGAUGAGCAGCCAAAAUGGGAAUGAGACACGGCCCAGACUCAGACGGAGGCAGCAGUGGGGAAUAUUGAACAAUGGGCGCAAGCCGGAUGCAGCCAUGCAGCGUGUAUGAAGAAGGCCCUAGGGUUGUAAAGUACUUAAAGUCGGGAGGCGUUACCGACAGAAGAAGCACCGGCUAAAUCCGUGCCAGCAGCCGCGGUAAUUC
RNAcentral lists this ribosomal RNA (403 nucleotides) under uncultured bacterium. Its description in RNAcentral is "partial 16S ribosomal RNA". It matches the Rfam family "Bacterial small subunit ribosomal RNA", at positions 29 to 526 of the family's 1533-position model. The record is from RNAcentral.